AAAAACAUGUCCAUUUGAAUAGCGUUGUAAAUGGUCUGGCCUGCCCACUGACUGUAGUUGAAGGGCCGCGGUAUCCUGACCGUGCGAAGGUAGCAUAAUAAUUAGUCUCCUAAUUAGAGGCUUGUAUGAAGGGUCGGACAAGAUAGGUACUGUCUCGGUGCAAGUAUAUAUAAAUUAAUAUUUGAGUAAAAAAGCUUAAAUAUGCUGAAGUGACGAUAAGACCCUAUAAAGCUUUAUGGUCUUUUCUAUUUUGCGUGAAAUAAUUGAUUCGAAAUCGCUGAAAAGAAAAAAUCAUUUUACUGGGGCGGUAAAAGUAUAAUUGGGUAACUGCUUUUGUUAUGGGUAACAAAAAUAAUUGGUGUUUAUAUUGAUCCGUUAAUAACGAUUAUAAGAACAAGUUACUUUAGGGAUAACAGCGUAAUUUUCUUUGAGAGUUCCUAUCGAAAAGAAAGUUUGCGACCUCGAUGUUGAAUUAAGGAUUACCUUAAGGUGCAGCAGCUUUAAAGGUGGAUCUGUUCGAUCCUCAAUCUCUUACGUGAUCU
This 542-nucleotide ribosomal RNA is filed under the name Acanthosquilla shoheii. RNAcentral's name for it is "partial large subunit ribosomal RNA". It matches the Rfam family "Bacterial large subunit ribosomal RNA", at positions 1809 to 2606 of the family's 2925-position model. The record is from RNAcentral. Lineage: Eukaryota; Metazoa; Arthropoda; Malacostraca; Stomatopoda; Nannosquillidae.